RNAcentral lists this transfer RNA (74 nucleotides) under Pteropus alecto (black flying fox). It matches the Rfam family "tRNA". Rfam says of the family: Transfer RNA (tRNA) molecules are approximately 80 nucleotides in length. Their secondary structure includes four short double-helical elements and three loops (D, anti-codon, and T loops). The record is from Rfam by way of RNAcentral. Lineage: Eukaryota; Metazoa; Chordata; Mammalia; Chiroptera; Pteropodidae.
GGCUCUAUAGUGUAAUGGUUAGCACGUCUGCUUUACACGCAGAAUGUCCUGGGUUCACGUCCCAAGUGGAGCCA